CUUGUCAAAACCACAAAGGUUGAAGAGUCUGUUGCUGCUGUUGGGAGAGACCCAUUGCUAGUAUCUCAGUCAGACGAACAGAGUUUAUUGAACAAGAAACAGGCAAGGAAACUGAGAUCGAGCCUAACAAUGCAAGCGUUCAGAGGCCAUUUGACCUUUAUAAGGAACCUAUUAUGCUGCAGUUAUUGAGAACCGUGCAGAUUUCCAUGGUCGUGUGGUGGUUGAUGUUGGUGCUGGUAGUGGUAUUCUUUCAUUAUUUGCUGCUCAGGCUGGUGCUAAACAUGUUUAUGCGGUGGAGGCAUCUGAAAUGACAGAAUAUGCACAUAGGCUUAUUGCUAGGAAUCCAUCAUUGAGAGAACGGAUUACAGUGAUCAAAGGUAAAGUUGAGGAUGUUGAAUUGCAUGAGAAAGCAGGCAUUCUGAUUUCUGGGGCUAUAUGAUUCAGAAGGGUGUUGCAGGGAGCAUAGAUCCAUUGUCGAAAUUCAGAUCCGAGGCAACAUGAUUGUGUUGAGAUUUCCAUCUUAUUUCCAUGGUUUCUCUAUUAGUGUUGAGAUUUCAAGUCUCUUGGACUGAGGGAAAAAACUCAUCUCUGUUUUUCUUCUUUCCUUUUCUUUUCUUUAUGUUUUUCAUGUUUUAUGGAUUGGGAUUCCAAGUCUAUUUGACUAAGAAUUGAAGACUCUUUCUAGGUUUUCUUGGGUUUUAUUUGAGAGGAAAAACCCAUUAAAAUA
Molecule: RNA transcript, 727 nt
Organism: Magnolia sinica
Lineage: Eukaryota; Viridiplantae; Streptophyta; Magnoliopsida; Magnoliales; Magnoliaceae
Gene name: probable histone-arginine methyltransferase 1.4
Exons: 4
Source: RefSeq, a predicted model, not a curated record